ACAGUCUCUGCUUAAUCCUCUCUCUGGCCAGCAUGAAAAUGGGUUAUGAAAAGUUAAGAAUGAAAAAUUAAGACAAACUCUAGAUUUGUAUAGCCAUAAACUGCAACAAUCAUGCAGCCACAGAAAGUAUUCAGUUAUGCAGACUAUAUGAGCUUUGUAAGCUGAAGGCAAGUUUGCUUGUGGAUGUGUCAUUUCUAAAUGGAACAUAGAAAUGGUAAACCAAUGAUGAUAUCAAAAUAAUGAAGUAAAUAUCAUUGAUAUGUCCGUUGAACAACUAGAAAAAGCUAGGCAUCUAAGAAUUUAUCAUUUUCACGGAUGCACAUACACUGCCUGCCAACAAUGCAACAUUAGCACAAUAAUACAAGUAGGCAUGUAAACGAGCCAAGCUUUGAAGAGUUCGGGUUCAACUCAUACGAUUUUCAUUAAACUCGAGCUCAGAUUUGAAGCUAGAGCUCGGCCAGUAUAGAUUUUAUUAGACUUGAACUCAUUUAAAAUUCG
RNAcentral lists this unclassified non-coding RNA (498 nucleotides) under Hevea brasiliensis (rubber tree). The record is from RNAcentral. Lineage: Eukaryota; Viridiplantae; Streptophyta; Magnoliopsida; Malpighiales; Euphorbiaceae.